RNAcentral lists this long non-coding RNA (1512 nucleotides) under Sinocyclocheilus grahami. Its description in RNAcentral is "lncRNA (ENSSGRG00000013605.1)". The record is from RNAcentral. Lineage: Eukaryota; Metazoa; Chordata; Actinopteri; Cypriniformes; Cyprinidae.
CAAGAUUCCAGAGCGCACGACGUCGAAGUUCAAAGAUGUGGCGAGUCCUCACAGACAGGGGUCCAGGUGAGCGGUCACUGCUCGUGCUGUUUGAGAGUUACUCGUCUGGAGCCGCUCUGUGAAGCUGUGUGUUUGUGUCCUCAUGUGUUCAGCGGCGAUGGUCCGUCUGCUGUGAAGAUGUCCUUCAGCUCCAGCUCCAGCAGCAGCUCACACUCAGGUCUCUGUGUGCUGGACAGUGCAGCUCAUCCCAGCAGAAACGCUCAGACGUCACCGCAGAACCAGGUCAAUCUGAUCAUUUCUCCUACGCUUUUACGGGUUCAUUUUGUUCUGACACAGUUUAACUCUGAGUUCUUCUCAUAUUUUGUUACUAUUUUCUCAACUAUAGUGAAUUAACCCGUGAUUUAAUGUGAGACAUGUUGAAGGUGUCUGAAUAAACUGAUUAAAAGCUAGGACAUGACUAACAGUAACAGAGUGCUGGCCUUUAAUCUCAAGCUGUGUUCCUCGUUAAGGGUUUGGGAAUGAAGUCUGCGUUCAGUCCGUUAAUGAAGCUUGCGGAAUAUUCUUCCUCCAGUGAUGAAGAUGACGAGAGGACCAGGUCUCCGUUGAGCAAUGGCAGGCCGGUGUUAUCCAGAGGAGAGUGUGAUGAAAUCAUUCUCCAGCCUCAUCACAGCGCUACACAGCAGCAGAGUGCAGCAAAGCCAGCACAUAGUGUCCAUCAGAGGCCUUCAGGAUCGCAGUCCAGCGACAGCUGCUUUCUGCCCGACCUGCUGCACAAGAGCCCCUCGCACCAGCAGAGCGUCCUCGAGGUACAGCCUCAGAUCACUGCAGUGUUUGAUCAGCUGUUUCUGUUUAAUCAUGCACACACACUUGUACAGUACUUCUCUCUCUCUCACACACACACACUCUCUCUCACACACACACACACGCACUCUCACACACACACGCACACACUCACACACACACAAACACACACUCACACACACACACAAACACACACUCUCUCACACACACACACACACACACACACUCUCUCUCUCACACACACACACACGCACUCUCACACACACACGCACACACUCACACACACACAAACACACACUCUCUCACACACACACUCACACACACACACUCUCUCACACACACACACUCACACACUCUCUCACACACACACACACACACACACACUCUCUCUCUCACACACACACACACGCACUCUCACACACACACGCACACACUCACACACACACAAACACACACUCUCUCACACACACACUCACACACACACACUCUCUCACACACACACACUCACACACUCUCUCACACACACACACACACACACACACUCUCUCUCUCACACACACACACACUCACACACACACACACACACAAAUGGGUUCAGUGAUGGUUUUUGAGAGUUAUAAUCACACAAAUGUCACAAAACUACCAGUAAACUGACUACAGCAAACCUUUGUAAAACAUUAAUAAAAUGUUGUGUCUGAAAAGGAAACUCCU